GAUGAAGAACGUAGCGAAAUGCGAUAAGUAAUGUGAAUUGCAGAAUUCAGUGAAUCAUCGAAUCUUUGAACGCACAUUGCGCCCCUUGGUAUUCCGAGGGGCAUGCCUGUUCGAGCGUCAUAUUAACCACUCCCGCUUGCGGGGUCUUGGGCUUCGCCUCCGGGCGGGCCUUAAAAUCAGUGGCGGUGCCGUCGGGCUCUACGCGUAGUAAAUUUUCUCGCGAUAGGGUCCCGGUGGAUGCUUGCCAACAACCCCCAACUUCUUAAGGUUGACCUCGGAUCAGGUAGGGAUACCCGCUGAACUUAUGCAUAUCAAUAAGCGGAGG
RNAcentral lists this unclassified non-coding RNA (325 nucleotides) under soil metagenome. RNAcentral describes it as "partial contains 5.8S ribosomal RNA, internal transcribed spacer 2, and large subunit ribosomal RNA". The stretch from base 1 to 120 matches the Rfam family "5.8S ribosomal RNA", at positions 35 to 154 of the family's 154-position model. The record is from RNAcentral.